CCCUGUCCCUGCACAGCUGAUCCUCCACAGAAGGCACAGGUUGGUGGGCAUGGGUCAUAGCCAGUCCUAGCAGCUGUCUGGACUGGGUAAAUCCCUCCCAUUGACCUGCUGACAGCAAUCAAGACUCAUCUACAAGAGGAGGGAGUACUCAGCCCAAAUGAAGGGCACACCUCAAAUA
Molecule: long non-coding RNA, 178 nt
Organism: Phyllostomus discolor (pale spear-nosed bat)
Lineage: Eukaryota; Metazoa; Chordata; Mammalia; Chiroptera; Phyllostomidae
Exons: 3
Source: RefSeq, a predicted model, not a curated record